RNAcentral lists this transfer RNA (76 nucleotides) under Quinella sp. 2Q5. RNAcentral's name for it is "tRNA-Gln". It matches the Rfam family "tRNA". Rfam says of the family: Transfer RNA (tRNA) molecules are approximately 80 nucleotides in length. Their secondary structure includes four short double-helical elements and three loops (D, anti-codon, and T loops). The record is from RNAcentral. RNAcentral also lists the same sequence under 1 other name. Lineage: Bacteria; Bacillati; Bacillota; Negativicutes; Veillonellales; Veillonellaceae.
AGGGGUAUAGCCAAGUUGGUAAGGCACCGGACUCUGAAUCCGGUAUGCGUUGGUUCGAGUCCAGCUACCCCUGCCA